AUGAACGCUGGCGGCGUGCCUAAUACCUGCAAGUCGAGCGAACAGAUGAGGAGCUUGCUCCUCUGACGUUAGCGGCGGACGGGUGAGUAACACGUGGAUAACCUACCUAUAAGACUGGGAUAACUUCGGGAAACCGGAGCUAAUACCGGAUAAUAUAUUGAACCGCAUGGUUCAAUAGUGAAAGACGGUUUUGCUGUCACUUAUAGAUGGAUCCGCGCCGCAUUAGCUAGUUGGUAAGGUAACGGCUUACCAAGGCAACGAUGCGUAGCCGACCUGAGAGGGUGAUCGGCCACACUGGAACUGAGACACGGUCCAGACUCCUACGGGAGGCAGCAGUAGGGAAUCUUCCGCAAUGGGCGAAAGCCUGACGGAGCAACGCCGCGUGAGUGAUGAAGGUCUUCGGAUCCUAAAACUCUGUUAUUAGGGAAGAACAAAUGUGUAAGUAACUAUGCACGUCUUGACGGUACCUAAUCAGAAAGCCACGGCUAACUACGUG
RNAcentral lists this ribosomal RNA (496 nucleotides) under uncultured bacterium. RNAcentral's name for it is "partial 16S ribosomal RNA". It matches the Rfam family "Bacterial small subunit ribosomal RNA", at positions 29 to 507 of the family's 1533-position model. The record is from RNAcentral.